UAAAAUUUAAAAUUAUAAUACUUAAAUAGUAGAUAAUUAUUUAUUGAAACUUAAAUAAUUUGGCGGUAUUUUAGUUCAUUUAGAGGAAUCUGUUUAAUAAUUGAUAUUCCACGAAUAAAUUUACUUAAUUUAUAAUUUUGUAUAUCGUUGUUAUAAAAAUAUUUUUUAAUAAUAUUAAUAUUUAAGAAUUAUUAUUUAAAUUCAAAUCAGAUCAAGAUGCAGAUUAUAAUUAAGAAUAUAAUGGAUUACAAUAAAUUUAUUUAAAUGAAUAUUUUUUUUGUAAAGUUAAUUGAAAGUGGAUUUAAAUGUAAUUUUAUUUAUUUUAUUAAAAUGAUUAAAAAUUAAAAUAUGU
This 352-nucleotide ribosomal RNA is filed under the name Acrapex minima. RNAcentral's name for it is "partial 12S ribosomal RNA". The record is from RNAcentral. Lineage: Eukaryota; Metazoa; Arthropoda; Insecta; Lepidoptera; Noctuidae.